Molecule: transfer RNA, 76 nt
Filed under: Yersinia enterocolitica
Lineage: Bacteria; Pseudomonadati; Pseudomonadota; Gammaproteobacteria; Enterobacterales; Yersiniaceae
Description: tRNA-Lys
Rfam family: tRNA
About the family: Transfer RNA (tRNA) molecules are approximately 80 nucleotides in length. Their secondary structure includes four short double-helical elements and three loops (D, anti-codon, and T loops).
Source: RNAcentral
CGGGUCGUUAGCUCAGUUGGUAGAGCAGUUGACUUUUAAUCAAUUGGUCGCAGGUUCGAAUCCCGCACGACCCACC